RNAcentral lists this transfer RNA (71 nucleotides) under Loxodonta africana (African savanna elephant). It matches the Rfam family "tRNA". Rfam says of the family: Transfer RNA (tRNA) molecules are approximately 80 nucleotides in length. Their secondary structure includes four short double-helical elements and three loops (D, anti-codon, and T loops). Further hydrogen bonds mediate the characteristic L-shaped molecular structure. tRNAs have two regions of fundamental functional importance: the anti-codon, which is responsible for specific mRNA codon recognition, and the 3' end, to which the tRNAs corresponding amino acid is attached (by aminoacyl-tRNA synthetases). tRNAs cope with the degeneracy of the genetic code in two manners: having more than one tRNA (with a specific anti-codon) for a particular amino acid; and 'wobble' base-pairing, i.e. permitting non-standard base-pairing at the 3rd anti-codon position. Lineage: Eukaryota; Metazoa; Chordata; Mammalia; Proboscidea; Elephantidae. The record is from Rfam by way of RNAcentral.
GCAGUGGUAGUUCAGUGGUAGAAUUCUCACCAUCUAGGUGGGAAACCCGGGUUCGAUUCCCAGCUGGUGCA